GAUCUCUGCGCUGGCCAGGCAUGCAGAACAUUCUGUUCGGUCCCACCGGACAGAGGCUCCAUCUAGAUGAGACCAGGCUGGUGGGGCAGGACAAGGACUCCUGGGAGCUGAAAUGGCCUGGCAGAUGCUUAGUGAGAGAGGGUUUCUUGAGACAGCACCAUUUCUGGGGAGAGAGUCACCUGGGAGGGGUGAGGCCAUGCUCUGGCUUGGAGGUAAAGGGAGGGGCCAC
This is an unclassified non-coding RNA of Cercocebus atys (sooty mangabey), 229 nucleotides long. The record is from Ensembl. Lineage: Eukaryota; Metazoa; Chordata; Mammalia; Primates; Cercopithecidae.